This 492-nucleotide ribosomal RNA is filed under the name uncultured bacterium. Its description in RNAcentral is "partial 16S ribosomal RNA". It matches the Rfam family "Bacterial small subunit ribosomal RNA", at positions 29 to 507 of the family's 1533-position model. The record is from RNAcentral.
AGUGAACGCUGGCGGUAGGCCUAACACAUGCAAGUCGAACGGCAGCACAGUAAGAGCUUGCUCUUACGGGUGGCGAGUGGCGGACGGGUGAGGAAUAAAUCGGAAUCUACUUUUUCGUGGGGGAUAACGUAGGGAAACUUAAGCUAAUACCGCAUACGACCUACGGGUGAAAGCAGGGGAACUUCGGACCUUGCGCGAUUGAAUGAGCCGAUGUCGGAUUAGCUAGUUGGCGGGGUAAAGGCCCACCAAGGCGACGAUCCGUAGCUGGUCUGAGAGGAUGAUCAGCCACACUGGAACUGAGACACGGUCCAGACUCCUACGGGAGGCAGCAGUGGGGAAUAUUGGACAAUGGGCGCAAGCCUGAUCCAGCCAUACCGCGUGGGUGAAGAAGGCCUUCGGGUUGUAAAGCCCUUUUGUUGGGAAAGAAAAGCAGCAGGUUAAUACCCCGCUGUUCUGACGGUACCCAAAGAAUAAGCACCGGCUAACUUCGUG